AGGAAUAUUGGGCAAUGGAGGCAACUCUGACCCAGCCAUGCCGCGUGAGUGAAGAAGGUUUUCGGAUUGUAAAGCUCUUUCGGAUGUGACGAUGAUGACGGUAGCAUCUAAAGAAGCCCCGGCUAACUUCGUGCCAGCAGCCGCGGUAAUACGAAGGGGGCGAGCGUUGUUCGGAAUUACUGGGCGUAAAGGGUGUGUAGGCGGUUAUGUAAGAUAGCGGUGAAAUCCCGGGGCUUAACCUCGGAAUAGCCGUUAUAACUAUGUAGCUAGAGUUAUGGAGAGGAUAGCGGAAUACCCAGUGUAGAGGUGAAAUUCGUAGAUAUUGGGUAGAACACCGGUGGCGAAGGCGGCUAUCUGGCCAUAUACUGACGCUGAGGCACGAAAGCAUGGGGAUCAAACAGGAUUAGAUACCCUGGUAGUCCAUGCUGUAAACGAUGAAUGCUGGUUGUCGGCUUUAGGGUCGGUGACGAAGUUAACGCGAUAAGCAUUCCGCCUGGGGAGUACGGUCGCAAGAUUAAAACUCAAAGGAAUUGACGGGGACCCGCACAAGCGGUGGAGCAUGUGGUUUAAUUCGAUGCAACGCGAAGAACCUUACCAACUCUUGACAUCCUUAUCGGGGGGCGCAGAGAUGAGCCCUUUCAGUUAGGCUGGAUAAGUGACAGAUGCUGCAUGGCUGUCGUCAGCUCGUGUCGUGAGAUGUUGGGUUAAGUCCCGCAACGAGCGCAACCCCUGCUAUCAGUUGCCAGCGAGUAAAGUUGGGCACUCUGAUAGGACUGCCGGUGACAAGCCGGAGGAAGGUGGGGAUGACGUCAAGUCAUCAUGGCUCUUACGAGUUGGGCUACACACGUGCUACAAUGGUAACUACAGAGGGGAGCGAGACCGCGAGGUUGAGCCAAUCUUAAAAAGUUAUCUCAGUUCGGAUUGUUCUCUGCAACUCGAGAACAUGAAGUUGGAAUCGCUAGUAAUCGCGGAUCAGCAUGCCGCGGUGAAUACGUUCCCG
Molecule: ribosomal RNA, 1000 nt
Filed under: uncultured bacterium
Lineage: Bacteria
Description: bacterial SSU rRNA
Rfam family: Bacterial small subunit ribosomal RNA
Source: RNAcentral